Molecule: ribosomal RNA, 499 nt
Filed under: uncultured Glomeromycotina
Lineage: Eukaryota; Fungi; Glomeromycota
Description: partial small subunit ribosomal RNA
Rfam family: Eukaryotic small subunit ribosomal RNA
Source: RNAcentral
CCAAUAGCGUAUAUUAAAGUUGUUGCAGUUAAAAAGCUCGUAGUUGAAUUUCGGGAUCAGUACGCUGGUCGUGCCUUCGGUAUGUACUGGUGUUACUGGUUCCUACCUUCUGACGAACCGUCAUGUCAUUAAUUUGGUGUGGCGGGGAAUCAGGACUGUUACUUUGAAAAAAUUAGAGUGUUUAAAGCAGGCUCGCGCUUGAAUACAUUAGCAUGGAAUAAUGAAAUAGGACGUUCGAUUCUAUUUUGUUGGUUUCUAGGAUUGACGUAAUGAUUAAUAGGGAUAGUUGGGGGCAUUAGUAUUCAAUUGUCAGAGGUGAAAUUCUUGGAUUUAUUGAAGACUAACUACUGCGAAAGCAUUUGCCAAGGAUGUUUUCAUUAAUCAAGAACGAAAGUUAGGGGAUCGAAGACGAUCAGAUACCGUCGUAGUCUUAACCAUAAACUAUGCCGACUAGGGAUCGGAUGAUGUUAAUUUUUUAAUGACUCAUUCGGCGCCUUAC